CACGAUUUGCUGAACUGCUAUUGAAGAUAAAUUAUAAUUUUGGUUAUCAUAUGAUAGCAUUCCAUUAAAGCUAACACAAAAUUUUACUAAGCGGAAAACUAAAAUCGAUUAUUCCGCCCAACAUUUAGCCAAAAAAUUAAACAUUUUCACCUUCACACUCAAUUUCUCCUCUUUCUCUCCAAUAAAAAAACCUAAUACUCGACAACACCAUCCUGAGACAUAACUCUCUGAAACUCACAAAUCGAUUAAACUCGCUGGCCGCCGUCGUUGAAGGAGGAAUUGAAGGAAUGGGAUCUGAUUUUAGUUUCAGAUCUGAUUUUCAUUUUGGAUCUGAUUUUAUAAGGACGUUGUCUCUUCUUGCUUAGUUAGCUUUGCAUUGGUUCUUAUGCUUAUGAUGAUUUCUACUUAAAUUUUUUUCUACUUAAAUUUGUUUCUACUAAACCUUGUUUUGCUUAGCUAUGUUGCAGAUCACGCUUAACAAAAUUGGUAGACUCUCACACCUCUUGCUCCUUUUUUUGCUUCGGUCCGUUGUCGCAGAUAUGUUCCUUUUCAAGGAUCUUGUUCAGUACUGGGUUUAUUUUGCAGGCUUGGCUUGGUCACUGUUUAAUCUCGGUUCUGAUUUUGUUUUCAACAGCUGAUUCAAAACGAGUUAACGGGUCUGAGGAAUCAGAGUAAAGAAAGUUUGGUUAUGCUUUGAAUGAUGUUUCAUGGUCAAGAGUUUUCAAGAAACCGUUGUAAUGUUGUGGCAGUUGUUUCUGGAGAGAAUAAUAAUAACCAGAUAGAUGGAGCUCCUCCUCCUCUUCAACCCAAAUACCCUUUUCCAGAUCUCUCUUCUUCAGGGCGACUCAAGAUUCAGGUACUGAAUAAUCCUACGACAGAGGAGUUCCAGGUUGCUGUUAACUCUUUUGCAACGGAUUUUGUCUACUUGCAAGGGGAGCAGACUGGAGAUAGUGAUGAAGUUGGUCCCUUAGUGUUGGGAUUUUCUGCUUUUUCUACUCCUGAUGUGCCUUGGUUGCUCUGUUUGGUUCCACAUUACCGACAACCGUUUACCUUGAGCUUCCAAAUGCUGAAGAAUUAGCUCAAGCACUCUACUCUAAGGUGUUCAAUAUGUUAUAUAUUGGAAAAAUGCUUUCACGAAAUAUGCAGCCUGCCAUUUUCGCCAUGCUCUGUUUUCAGUCAUACAGAGAUCAAUUUCAUGAGGUAAAGAACAAAUAAGAGACAGAUAAACUCUAUCUUUUAUGAUUCACAACUUUCACUUUUCAGUGCGUGGCUUACUAGAGAAAGAAGCAAAAAAUCAAAGGAUAUCAAUGGCGAGUGGAGUUGAAUUCACGUAUUUGAUAGCAAGAGUUUAAGACUACGUCCCUAGACUAACGAGAAUCUGGAUAUUUGUAUGACGUACUUCAAACUACAACAGCCAUCAUGCAUGGACGGCACCAUUAGACAACAACCCUUCCACCGUCAAAGGAAACUAGUCUAAAAUAACAGUGCCAAAAUACAUGAGGACGUCAAGAAACGCAUUGUAGAAGUACAUUACUCUCCUAGUCCUAGACCUAUAAAGGAUCAACACAACUAUGACAGACUAUGUGUAUGAUGUUAAUUUAUUUUUCUUGAAAAAUGGCUCACUUGUUAA
This is a non-coding RNA of Camelina sativa (false flax), 1630 nucleotides long. The record is from RefSeq and is a predicted model, not a curated record. Lineage: Eukaryota; Viridiplantae; Streptophyta; Magnoliopsida; Brassicales; Brassicaceae.